CCCAAAUGGCAUGAAAUUCCCCAGAUCUCAGUCAAAUUGAAGUCCCUUAUCCUCACUUUUCCAGCGAACCCACUGUUCCACUAUUCUUCCAUAUUUCCAUCGUGUAAUUCAUCUUUUACUCGCCGAUUGUUUCCAUCUUUUACUGUUGUGUCAAGACUCAUAGACAUGAACAAAGGUCACCACCGCCUUUGUUGCUUUGCUCGCCGAUUGUUUU
Molecule: long non-coding RNA, 214 nt
Filed under: Trifolium pratense (red clover)
Lineage: Eukaryota; Viridiplantae; Streptophyta; Magnoliopsida; Fabales; Fabaceae
Description: long non-coding RNA (TPRA_LNC004536)
Source: RNAcentral